AGAGUUUGAUCAUGGCUCAGGACGAACGCUGGCGGCGUGCUUAACACAUGCAAGUCGAACGGAAAGGCCCUUCGGGGUACUCGAGUGGCGAACGGGUGAGUAACACGUGGGUGAUCUGCCCUGCACUUUGGGAUAAGCCUGGGAAACUGGGUCUAAUACCGAAUAUGACCACGCUCUUCAUGGGGUGUGGUGGAAAGCUUUUGCGGUGUGGGAUGGGCCCGCGGCCUAUCAGCUUGUUGGUGGGGUAAUGGCCUACCAAGGCGACGACGGGUAGCCGGCCUGAGAGGGUGACCGGUCACACUGGGACUGAGAUACGGCCCAGACUCCUACGGGAGGCAGCAGUGGGGAAUAUUGCACAAUGGGCGCAAGCCUGAUGCAGCGACGCCGCGUGAGGGAUGACGGCCUUCGGGUUGUAAACCUCUUUCACCAGGGACGAAGCGCAAGUGACGGUACCUGGAGAAGAAGCACCGGCCAACUACGUGCCAGCAGCCGCGAUAAUACGUAGGGUGCGAGCGUUGUCCGGAAUUACUGGGCGUAAAGAGCUCGUAGGUGGUUUGUCGCGUUGUUCGUGAAAACUCACAGCUUAACUGUGGGCGUGCGGGCGAUACGGGCAGACUAGAGUACUGCAGGGGAGACUGGAAUUCCUGGUGUAGCGGUGGAAUGCGCAGAUAUCAGGAGGAACACCGGUGGCGAAGGCGGGUCUCUGGGCAGUAACUGACGCUGAGGAGCGAAAGCGUGGGGAGCGAACAGGAUUAGAUACCCUGGUAGUCCAA
This 773-nucleotide ribosomal RNA is filed under the name uncultured bacterium. Its description in RNAcentral is "bacterial SSU rRNA". It matches the Rfam family "Bacterial small subunit ribosomal RNA", at positions 8 to 798 of the family's 1533-position model. The record is from RNAcentral.